AAUAAUGUAGCUUAAAAUAAAGCGUUAAAUUGUAAAUUUAAACAUAGAUAUAAAUUAUUUCAUUAUUA
RNAcentral lists this transfer RNA (68 nucleotides) under Aeolothrips indicus. RNAcentral's name for it is "tRNA-Tyr". It matches the Rfam family "tRNA". Rfam says of the family: Transfer RNA (tRNA) molecules are approximately 80 nucleotides in length. Their secondary structure includes four short double-helical elements and three loops (D, anti-codon, and T loops). The record is from RNAcentral. Lineage: Eukaryota; Metazoa; Arthropoda; Insecta; Thysanoptera; Aeolothripidae.